This 373-nucleotide ribosomal RNA is filed under the name uncultured organism. Its description in RNAcentral is "bacterial SSU rRNA". It matches the Rfam family "Bacterial small subunit ribosomal RNA", at positions 526 to 896 of the family's 1533-position model. The record is from RNAcentral.
CGUAGGGUCCAAGCGUUAUCCGGAAUUACUGGGCGUAAAGAGUCGCGUAGGUGGCAGAGUAAGUUGGUAGUGAAAUCGUGUGGCUCAACCAUACACCCAUUACCAAAACUGCUCAGCUAGAAGAUGAGAGAGGUCGCUAGAAUUCCUAGUGUAGGAGUGAAAUCCGUAGAUAUUAGGAGGAAUACCGAUGGCGUAGGCAGGCGACUGGCUCACUCUUGACACUAAGGCACGAAAGCGUGGGGAGCGAACAGGAUUAGAUACCCUGGUAGUCCACGCCGUAAACUAUGGAUGCUAGCUGUUACGAGUAUCGACCCUUGUAGUAGCGAAGCUAACGCGUUAAGCAUCCCGCCUGUGGAGUACGGCCGCAAGGCUA